This 220-nucleotide unclassified non-coding RNA is filed under the name uncultured Actinomycetes bacterium. RNAcentral's name for it is "uncultured actinobacterium contains 16S-23S intergenic spacer region". It matches the Rfam family "Bacterial small subunit ribosomal RNA", at positions 976 to 1194 of the family's 1533-position model. Lineage: Bacteria; Bacillati; Actinomycetota; Actinomycetes. The record is from RNAcentral.
UGGGCUUGACAUGGACUAGAAAGCUCUAGAGAUAGAGCCUCCCUUGUGGCUGGUUCACAGGUGGUGCAUGGCUGUCGUCAGCUCGUGUCGUGAGAUGUUGGGUUAAGUCCCGCAACGAGCGCAACCCUCGUUCCAUGUUGCCAGCACGUAAUGGUGGGGACUCAUGGGAGACUGCCGGGGUCAACUCGGAGGAAGGUGGGGAUGACGUAGCUAAGCCUUC